AAUACUUCUAAGGCUCUGCCGGGGGUCUCCAAAGAAAAUAUACAAUGAACAUCGGACACUGCAACUCUUCUCACUAAGACCUCCCUGUCAGGGUCAGGUCAGGCAGCAAAAUACUCCUGAUUUCCACUCUGCCUGCUUGGGAUCUGCUGUGGGCAGCUCUGGAGGCAGGUCAAAAGGUAAGUAAGAUGGGCUCUGGAGGACGGUGGGCAGCUAUACCUUCUCCUCUGUCCCCACAGUCCUGGUCUCCAUACAGCGGUGUUGUAUCCUUCCUUCACAUCCACAGAUGACGUGAGGGACCACAGAGUCAGACAGGAUGGAGAUCAAUCAACUGGCUUGAGCCUCCCAGCCUCUUCCCCUGAUGUCUCCCUGGUUCUGAGUGGAUUUCAUCUUGGUCAGCAUGUGGACACAGAGGAAUGACAGCGAGAUGGUGAGCCUCACACUGGCAUGGGCACAUCUGCACAGGCUGUCCCUUGGGUUCUCAGGACUGCUCUGCAGUAACCCGCAGAUGAUAGCCAUGGGCCCAGAAGCAACCUGAGGA
Molecule: long non-coding RNA, 538 nt
Filed under: Mus spicilegus (steppe mouse)
Lineage: Eukaryota; Metazoa; Chordata; Mammalia; Rodentia; Muridae
Description: lncRNA (ENSMSIG00000013939.1)
Source: RNAcentral